Molecule: long non-coding RNA, 363 nt
Filed under: Homo sapiens (human)
Lineage: Eukaryota; Metazoa; Chordata; Mammalia; Primates; Hominidae
Description: HSALNT0133668
Source: RNAcentral
GUUUGCCUGAUGCAAUUCCAAGCCUGACUUUGGCUUAGUGAUUUGGUGGUCCCAAGAUUUAUUUUCCUUUCAUAUUCCCAUGUUUACCUGAAGUAUGCAUGCUAAUUAAUUUGUUUUUCUCCUCUUAAUGUCUUUUUUGUUGUAGGGACCCAUUCCAACUGAGAACUUUAAAGGUAGAGAGAAAAUUAUAUUUUCCUCCUCUACAGUAUUAAUGUCUUAUUGGAAUGUGUUGUGAUCGGAGAAGAUUGUUUAUAUUAUAUCUAUUUCAUAGAUGAUUGAUAUCCCUUUGUAACACAGUAUGGAUAAUCUUCAUGAAUGUUCUUUGUGCUCCUGAAGAGAAGACGGAGUCUCUGUCAUGCAGUG